Molecule: long non-coding RNA, 794 nt
Organism: Cygnus atratus (black swan)
Lineage: Eukaryota; Metazoa; Chordata; Aves; Anseriformes; Anatidae
Exons: 3
Source: RefSeq, a predicted model, not a curated record
GUUUAUUUCUGCACAUCGUGCCGUUGGGUUUAACCAGCAGGAUGAUAGUGGAGUCGAAAUGGAAAUCUCUCUGUUAGGUUUGAGGAUUAAAGUAAAUAUGGAGAAACAACAUCGCUUACAGAGCGCAGACUUCAGAGUGGCCAAUGUGGUGCUUCUCAUGAGCAUUAUAGUCACUUAAACACUGUUUAUACUGAAAAAAAUCCAAGUCACAUUUGAAAGCUAUGAUCUCAGCAGUGGCUUUGAUCCCAUAAUAAGACUGAAUAAAAGGCUCAACAAAAACACAGUGUGUGAAGAACGGUAGAGGAGCGCUACCCAGUAAUUUUCAGAGACAUUAAUGCCAGUUGGAGAGACUACAAGGAGAAAGUCCUCCAACUUUCAGUGCCAUUAAAUUUAAGAAAACCUGUGUAACCUGGCAAAUCUCCAGUGACACGAGCUGAGUGCUGCAGACCUCACAACAGACAGCGAACUGACCAUUUGCAUCCUCGCCUCUCUCUGCAUGCCAUUGUAAAAAAUGUUCUUGUGCAUUCGGUCAAAAAUGCUCAAAUAGAUUGCUUUGGACUUCCACAGCCUGGUCUCUAAUUUUACACAUCAGCAGAUUGUUCUGACUGACCCUGCUUCCAAAGGUGGACGUGAAGAACAAUGGCAAGAGAGCAAGUGCUGAGCGUAUUUAAAGCACAAUAAUGGGAAGUGCUGAUGGCCUCCAAUUUCCAUUGAGUCCUUUUCCUUCCCCUGGCAAGACCUAUGUCGUGUCACUGUCACUGCGCGACUGGAUCCUGGUGCUGUGAGCCCCUUCA